AUACGUAGGGGGCGAGCGUUGUCCGGAAUGAUUGGGCGUAAAGGGCGCGUAGGCGGCGCGGUAAGUCUGGAGUGAAAGUCCUGCUUUCAAGGUGGGAAUUGCUUUGGAUACUGCCGCGCUUGAGUGCAGGAGAGGUUAUCGGAAUUCCCGGUGUAGCGGUGAAAUGCGUAGAGAUCGGGAGGAACACCAGUGGCGAAGGCGGGUAACUGGACUGCAACUGACGCUGAGGCGCGAAAGUGUGGGGAGCAAACAGGAUUAGAUACCCUGGUAGUCCACACUGUAAACGAUGAAUGCUAGGUGUAAGAGGUAUCGACCCCUUUUGUGCCGGAGUCAACACAAUAAGCAUUCCGCCUGGGGAGUACGGCCGCAAGGUUGAAACUCAAAGGAAU
Molecule: ribosomal RNA, 389 nt
Filed under: uncultured bacterium
Lineage: Bacteria
Description: partial 16S ribosomal RNA
Rfam family: Bacterial small subunit ribosomal RNA
Source: RNAcentral